Gambusia affinis (western mosquitofish) is the source of this 623-nucleotide long non-coding RNA. RefSeq lists it as uncharacterized. NCBI's taxonomy places the organism in Eukaryota, Metazoa, Chordata, Actinopteri, Cyprinodontiformes, Poeciliidae. The record is from RefSeq and is a predicted model, not a curated record. The transcript is spliced from 3 exons.
AUUGCAAACGUGAACUCUCAGUCAACAUUCACCGGGUCGCAGCGCGUUUCUCACGCCGAACUCACACGGCUUGAGCCACAGCUGAGACGCACUCUCACACAGAUGAGAUAUGACAUGUUGAGCAAAUAGUGCGGUGGAUGCACACCGUUCAGCCCGGAGUGAAGAACGAUCAUGCGUGACGUGCCGCCUCACAGGAGCAUGUAGCCUAACCUUUCCUCUGCUGCUGAUGAAUGAGUCACAACCCACAUGCCAACGGUGACCUUCCGCCAUGUUUGAGCCUCUGAUGGGGAAACUGCCCGUCUACGGACAGUAGAAGUUGUGGCUGUGAUUCAUGGCAGACCAAACAUCUCAUAAAGAAACAGCUGAGGGAAAAUCAACAGCAAGCAGCUCUUCCGUUUGGACCGCUCUAUUUAUGACGGCUGUCGGGGGUCCAGCAAAUGAAGAUGGGAUGAUUAUGAUGAUGGUGCUGGCUGUCGUAGCUUUCCCCAGGCUUUCACAUCAGGCUCACCAUCUCAGGCUCAUGACCUCUGUCACCUCCCCGCAGGGGGUCAGCCUCUUGCCAGGUGAGACAAACACAACAGAGAGUAGUUUGGCUGUAUGUUUGCUCCCCGCAGCAAGGUUAC